Molecule: ribosomal RNA, 237 nt
Filed under: Triticum aestivum (bread wheat)
Lineage: Eukaryota; Viridiplantae; Streptophyta; Magnoliopsida; Poales; Poaceae
Description: partial small subunit ribosomal RNA
Source: RNAcentral
AUGGUGCUCCCGACAUGGCUGGAUCCAUACCAAGCCCGUGGGGUUCCAGCUCGACCUCCUCGCAUCGACCACGGCAGCGGGAUCCGCGGAUGCAUGGACACGGCGGUGCAAGCGCGCAGACGCAACCUUGAGAAGAGAGGAGGUAGGGCGGCCAUGGCGUUCCCGCCGCAGCAGGGUCACUGGCUCCACCACGAGCUCCUCGCAGUUGCCAGUGACGACGGCAGCUCCGAACCCUAG